Long non-coding RNA from Tetranychus urticae (two-spotted spider mite), 1929 nucleotides. RefSeq lists it as uncharacterized. NCBI's taxonomy places the organism in Eukaryota, Metazoa, Arthropoda, Arachnida, Trombidiformes, Tetranychidae. The record is from RefSeq and is a predicted model, not a curated record.
AUGGAGUUGUUUUCAUUUUGACUGUUAUUAUUUAUAAAUGUUAUUCACUUGAUCACUAAGGAAAUCAUUGAAUACAAAAAUCAGUCGAUUGUUGAUAAAAUUAACUUACGAGACUGGGAAUGGAACGUAAUGACGCCGACGAUUCCUCAUCAUCAUGUAUAGAAGGCGGUUAAAUAAGCCAGCUGAUACUUCGGACAUGAGAAGAGCACAAGUCAAGGAGAUGAUUAAUGAACGGUUUUAAAGGCACAAGAAUAGAAACACACACCACAAGAGUAAAUGAUGAAUGUCCAGUUGGUUGGAUUGUUGUUAAAGAUCAUGUAAAACAAAACAGUGAAGAAGUCAACUUUAAUGGUAAAUCUCACCAAUUGUCUCCAACAUGAGUAAAAAAGGACGAUGUUAACCGGGCCAAAAUAAGAAACGAAAUCCCGAAUUGUGGGCUUGGUUAGCCAAUUUUAUAAAGUGUCAUACACCACUGAUUACCCGAAUGAUAGAGGUUAAAUUCAUCUUCAUCUCAUCAUCAUUUCAAGAUCAUUUUAAUGUUUCCCUCCAAUGGUCAAAGGUCAACUCCAACCGACCAAUGCCUCGAUGGUCAAUCUAAUUGAGAUAUUGAGUGGAAAGGAGAGAAAAAAGAAGAUUUGAAUUUACAUGAUGACACAUUUUCCUCGUUUUCUUAUGGGCCUCAACUUUAAUUUCAAGUUAUCUACAUAAACAUUAUACCCUUUGGUAACCAUAAAGAUUUAUGCUUUCUUCAUGAGUUGCUCUUGUCUCCCAUUAACUGACCUUCUUGAUUCAAGUCACUAAACUCACUGGACUGAGUUAAAGGGGCAAAGAUGAUAAUAGUGAAGGCUGGUUAGAAACAAAAAUUAAUUUCUCCUGGUGCCUUUUCUUGUGCCCUUUAUUCCUUCACUCUUAGCGGUUUCUGUUAAUGGUUUACUAUAAUGGAGAGCUUGUUAGUGUUGAGAUUGUAAUUAAUCGGGGAAAAGUGGUCAUCAUAAUUUGUAUAUGUAUUUUUGUUAAAUAUCCUCAUUGUCAUUAUUUUAGUUGGCCUGGAUUAGAGUGAUAAUAGAGUAUAAUGAUGAGUCUGAUGGUGAUGAGUGUAAUGAUAAUGAAUGUCUACAACGGAAAUCAUAUACUGCUGGACAAUUAGAGCAGUUCACAACAAUCAGAGCGAUUGAUCGUUGAAACAAGUGGUUAACAAAAAAAGGAAGAAGAAAUUUACUUUUAAAUCAUCUUCUUUCAGCUUCAAGAUUGACUUGCCAAAAAUUGACCAAAACUUUUGUUUAUUAACCUUUUUUAAUUAUUUUGUCCAACUAAAACCCAAUUUUACAUGUUAAUGAAUAUUCAACACUAAAUGGAAAAUGAAAAGCUAUUUAUAAGAAAAUGAUAAAACAAUUCAAUGUUGCUACUAUUUUCUCAAUUAUUCACUCAAUUUUUCUUUAUUUUUCAGAUGAACCCUUUUUCAAUUCGAAUUGAAUAGUUUUCACAUUCUUGGUGUAGUGUUUAUGUUAUAACAUUUACAGAUCAUCACACAAGCACACAUGCAACUUACUCGCCUCUUACAUUCAUGUAUUUUUUUAAUGUACUGGGACCGCCAAUUUUUGAGGUUUGAGUCCAUGAUGUUCGAGGCUUUCGAUGAACCCUUUUAUACAAAUAGCACAUUGAAUCUCUGGAAAUGAAAGAAAGGUAACAGUCUAGUUGGACGGACCCAAGGCAUAACUAAAAAGACCUUUAAAUCAGUAUCCAAUCAAGAGGAUCUUUUAAAUUUAAAAUCAAACACUGAAAAUAACAUGAAAUGUAAAGAUAUCAAAGCUGAUUGCUGUUCAUUUGUUUAACCACUAAUACAGUAAUCAAAUGCUUUAACAAAAAAUACAAUAGCAAACAUGGAUUAAUGAAUUGAAAUAAACACAUGAGCGUCUUUUUCUGUGAUUC